Brassica rapa (field mustard) is the source of this 12282-nucleotide long non-coding RNA. RefSeq lists it as uncharacterized. The record is from RefSeq and is a predicted model, not a curated record. Lineage: Eukaryota; Viridiplantae; Streptophyta; Magnoliopsida; Brassicales; Brassicaceae.
ACAAAAGUUUUAACAUAUGUUAAUUUUUAGACAUGUAUUAUAUAGUUUGAUAGUAUUAAGCCGUUCAAUCAUCAUAUAAUAUUUUUAAAAUAAAUAGUUUAUAUUUAUGAAAAUAAAAUUUAUAAAUUUAUCAGUUAAAUAUACUUUUAUCAUAUUAAUUUAAGUAUAAUAAUUGUAUUUUAACAUGAUCAUGACUAUAAAGUAGAUAAAAUAGGAUAUAAUAACAGUUUAUGGUUGCAAAAGAAAACCAAUUCUUUACAAUUACGUAAGAAAUUUAUUGUGUUUUACCCUCUGUUCGGAAACUCGCUAGGCUGCGGCUGACCCGGGCGUAGCGAGUUGACGGAAAAUCGGAAAAAAAUUGAAGAGUACGCGGAGAUUUUUUAUAGGUUUUUUUUUGCGUUUAUUCGUAUAUAUUAUGUUUCGUAAACUAAGACAUGGUAUCAUGAUAGUGUAGCGGUUUGUUUAAUAGGAGAAAUAUCCAGCAAUCUGUGUUCAACGUUCCAAACAUGUAAUUUUAUGUAUUUUUGUGUUUAUUUAAUGAGGGGUAAAAGAGUAAUUAACUCUUCAUCUUCUUAUUUCAGCUCAUUUCGUUUGCAAGCCUAGCCGCCAUGAUUUUUUUUAACUUAAUUUUUUGUUUAAUUAGGUGAUUUGUCUCGUUUUCACUUAGUUUUCAUGAUAUUAGCAAUAAAACAUGACAUAUUUAAGAUUCAAGUGUCAAUGUUGAAGAAAAUUUCACCCAAAAAAAAUUUCUCUGAUUUUAUGGCUGAGUAAGGUCAAAACACCACGGUGCAUCACCGUUGUGCGUUUAUACGCCGCAUUAUCGGUCAUUCCGAGCGAGUUUCAGAGCAUGGACUUUUACCAUAUACUUAUGUUUUAAAUUGUUACUGUGUGAAAUAAUGGUUUUAGCUUGUUAAUCACACACACAUUUAACUGUCGAUAUUAGAAAGAUAUACACGAUUAUUAUUCAGUGCAGAUAGUAGCUGAUCCUUUUUAGCAUUAAAACUUUGGUACUUGAUCAUGAUUAAAGUCCUACCAUAUUCAACCUUAGCGCGAUAUAAAAGUAGUAUGUUAUGAUGAAUUUUCUACACACAGAUCUAUGUAUUUUAGUGUUAUUUUUUUAUUUUUAUAGACGAGAAGAGUGUGUCGUGUACAAAGGAUAUUCACAAGCUACAGAAUAUAUUAAAAAUCGUGUAAUGUGAAAGGCGACAGAGCUUUGAUGAGAUAGCUGUCUAGUCUCUGUAGCUAUUUUGCCCAUUUAGCCCAGCAGUAGUAUUUGUUUUUUUUAACAAACGUCCAGCAAAAGUAUUCAACACAAUAAUAAAACAAAAUUUCUGACGCAACAGAUUUUUAGAAGCCUGUAACACAACCAUGUCAAUAAAUGAAAAAAAAUAAAAAAUUAAUUAAAGUAUUUCAUUUUUACACAUCAUUUUUAGUAAACUACACAUAAGAGCAUCAUUAUCGGGGUCUUUUAAGUGGGUUGCUUAAAUUAAUUGUGAUUAAAAAAAAAUGAAAAUUACCUAUUUAUCAUAGAGACGUCGCUUAAUUAGGAGGAGGAAGAGACGUCGCUUAGGGGACACGCGUCACACCUGGAAGUCUCCUACUCUCUUUCUUCUCUAUCUCUCUCCCGGCUUGGUUUGGUGAAAUCCGUGGGUUUCGAAUCCAAAUCGUCGUGAUUGAUCGUCGAGGACGAAUCAGUAGGCGAUUCCGUUAGCUAUGGUGGGGUGGGAGAUAGCGUUACACGGCGGCGCCGGAGCCAUUCCGAUCAAUCUCCCUGACGAGCGACGUAUCCCUCGCGAGUCCGUCACUGCUUCGAUCUCGGCGUUCCACCCUCAAAUCCGGCAAACAUCCACUUGACGUCACCGAACUCGUCCGAUGGAUCAGACAGAGGAGUAUGUCAACGGCCAGCUCAAGAACAAAUACGGUGAUGCCUUGGCGCUUAGAGAUGAGUACUUUGCUGUUGAUGAUGAUGAAAAAGAAGCUGCUGCGUUGGCGCUUAGAGAUGAUGAGAUUCGACCACAAAGCAUUUAUAGCUCUCGGCUUUGUUGCGUUAAGAGCUGAUGGAGAGAGGGAGUUUCUGUUCUUCAGACACCCAAGUGCUGAUAUGCUUCUUACGGAAGCUGAGCUUGACAAGAACUUAAUCCAAAAGGUGAGAUGACUUAUGUAAAUCUUCAACUAAACCCUGAGAUGAUCAUCAUCAUCAUCAGCUUGCCAAGAAACUAACAGCCGUUGACCUUGUUUCUAUUGGAGUUGGAACAACAAUUGGAGCAGGAGUGUAUAUUCUAGUGGGAACAGUAGCUAGACAACACACAGGACCUGCUCUUGCUGUAUCGUUCUUCAUCGCUGGAGUAGCAGCUCUCUCUCCGCUUGUUGCUAUGCUGAGCUUGUUCUUAUUGUCCAUCUGCUGGCAGUGCUUAUCAUUAUGCUUACAUCUUCUUGGAUAAGGGGAGAUCAAGCGUUGAUCAUAGGUGGAGCAAUAGAGUUUGUGAGAGAGCUGGAGCACCUUCUACAAUGCCUAGAGUUAAUAAAAGCGUCGGAGAAUCCUUGGAGAAACCGUUAAUAGGCAAAUUAGAGACAUGACCACGACAAUGUCUUCUUCUUCACUAAUAACUUCAGUUGCUUACCCGGUAAUUAUUUCUGGAAAUGUAACUGAACAGAGGGUGGCGGAGGAGGCCUCGGUAGGAAACAGCACAAAAGCCCGUGCUUGCCUGAUGUGGAGGUGAAGCUGCUAAGGUUUGAUGCCAUGAUCAAGAUACUUUCAAGAAGAAGACCAGACAACUGAUACUAUUGCUGUUUUGGAGGAUCUUUAUCUCUCUAUUCUUCACACAAACUUCACUACCAUGGAACAAACCGUCAUGUACUUUAAUGGCAAGGCAAAUUUCACCUUCGUAAAUUAUAAUCAUACGCAUUUAUAUGUAUAGUACAUCCUACAUAUAAAGUUUCUUACCAUAUGAUUGGAUUGCUUUAAUUAAAAUAUGCAUAUUAUAGUAAGCUACAAGGAAAAGUGGACGUUGAAGGUUUCCUCCCAGCACAAACUGCCAUAGACGCAAUUAAGGACUCCAUGGAUCUUUACGCAGCUUACAUCAAAGCUGUCUUGCAACGUUAAUGAACAUACCAGUCAAAUCCGUUCCUCCAGGUUUGCUUUCAUACCUUCUCAGGUUCUCUGGAGAACAUCCUGUUUAUGAAUUUGAAUUUAAUCCAUUUCGUUUAGAUUCAAGGUCUUAUGUUGAAAUCCGUAUGAAUUUUAGUCAACACGGAUCUGUGCGGAUCGUUGUCAAUCAAGAUAAGAAAACUCUGAAUUUGUUUUUUUCUUCCUUUCUUGCGAGUGAAUGAAUUAUGUUUUGGUUUUCCUUGGCACAGUGUAAGGAAGUUUGUGUAGUAUGUACAUGAUGAUGACAUCACCAAGUCCCAUAUUCUCAAUUUGCUUUUUAAUAUACCAUAUAGACACUUUCUUAGCAACUCUGUUGACUCUCUGAACGUUCUAAACAUGUAACCACAAACAAUAGAAACAAUAGAUAAAACAUGCAGCCAUUCAAACAAUCAGAGCAGUAGAUAGUUAGUUAAAUUUGUUGGCCAUAGCAUCCUAAACGCGAUGAUAAUGUAUAUAGAAAAUCAUUUGACAUAGGUUUCAUACAAAACAAUUUAACCAAUUUUUUAAACCUACCAAAAAAGUCAAUCAACAAACAACAGUACAAGAUCCCGUAACAAUUUAACCAAUUUUUUAAGCUCUCUCCACAUUAACUAUUUCGUGAUGAAAAGGUAACUGCUGAAAAUCGGACUACGACACACUAUUAAUUCCCACGGUUUUUUUUUUUCAGAAACACCACAGCUAAUAAUGGUCCAUAAGUUACAUUCGGAUAUUAUUCAAAGCCUCUCAUCUCAUCUGCACAUCUUUUCCCGUUAAAUUUCACAAAUUAUAUAUCAAUUCUUUCAUUUCAGUAACUUUGAGAAAAUACAAAUUGGGCUUUUGAUUUUUUUUCCUUAGAUUCUUUCGAGCUUUUAUGAGUCCUAGAUCGUUGGACAUAUAUAUCAUCAAAAGUAAUAGAGAAGACAUAGGUUUUGUUAAGAAGACUUUUUAUUUGUCAAGGAGACUUACUUUUUUUUUGGUCAAGGAGACUUACUAAACAAAAAAAAAAGAUGGAGAGAGGGAGAGACUAUUAUUUAAUAUGGAGUUAUUUUUAAAAAUGUAUAUUUAGCUUUGUAAUCGUGCUUGAUGUGAUAAUUAAGUCGAGGACUAUUCAGGUUUCCAUACUUAAAUACGAAAUUUGAAGGAUAGACAGAUAAUUUUUUAGAACAAAAAAAACUAAGUACAAUAUUUUGAAGUAAUUCUCAUGAAAUUUGCUUAUUUUUUGUCAAUAAACUCAAGUUAAAGAAAUUAACAAAAAAAGAAAAAUGGAAACCAUAACCAAUGAUUAAUGAACAAUCAAAACAAGUAUUUUUUUUUACAAAAAAAUAGUUUAAAAUUAGAGUUUAGAAAAUAUAACAUCAAAAAAUGAAAAAAAUAUUGAAAAUACACCAUAUAAUUACGAAAAAUAAGCCAACAAACAAUAAUUUAGUGAGAAUGCAUAAUCUAAUUUAUAAUAUAUAUAAACUUCCAAAAUAUCUAAAUAAAUCAUAACAACAAAAGGAAAGGAAAUACAUUUUUGAUAUUAUUUCUCAUGUUUCAUCAAACUCAGACCAGCGGAAAAAUAUCUAUUCUCGCAAAUAUUUUUUUCUUUUGUGCGUACCAAACUAGAACCUUACAAAAUUAAUAUGAAAAUAGAUGGAAAAGAACAAGAAGUGAUUAUACAUAAUCAAAAUAUUUUAUUUUUAAACAAUAAAAUUAUCUAAUAAAUUAAAAAUAAAAAUACCAUCCAUAGUACUAUCACCAAGUAUCGAUACAUUUAAAAAGAAAAAGAAAAAUGAUGUCAUAACAUUGUUUCUUGAACUUUAAUAUUUAAUCAAAUAAUUACAAAGUUCUGAUUAACCACAAUAUAAAAAAAAUUUACAAAGAAAACAUAUGAUAGUAGAUGAUCUCAAUGAAAUCAAACAAAACAAAGGAACACAUCAUUAAAUAAAAAAAUAUAAUUUCAUUGUUCCUAAACUAUAUAAUUAUGUAAUUUAGUUAACUAUACAUAUUCCGGCUCUCAAUAUCGUAACAUGUUAUAUAAAAAGAUCACUUAUCAAUAAUGUUUCAUAAAAAUAGAUAACUAAUCCUUCAAAACUUAAAAGAAAUGUCUGAUCUUAACACUCAAUUACGUCCCGCGCGAAGCAACUGUUGAGGUGAACAAAAUUUAACUAUUUCUUUGUAGUUACUCAGUCUGUUCGACUCUCAGGCUUUGUAUUUCAUAUAGUAUUUCAUAUCAUUUAUCGAGUAUUAUAUGUAUUAACAAAAAAUCAAAUAGUGUUAUCUUUUUACUACCUAAUAAUUGUUAUUAAAAAUAUAAAUAUAAUGCAACUAUUAAAAUCAAAAUUUAUGCUAUAAAUUUGUUUAUAUGGGAUAUAUUUUACUGUAAACUUUUUUCUUACGUUUUGUGAUCAUUUGUAUUUUGUUAAAAAUAUUUAAUCAGAAAUCACACAAUUUCAAUGGAAAUUUAACAGUUUUUUUAGUAGUAAAAUAUAAGCAAGAAUAAACACAAAUCAAUAAUUUACAGUAUAAUAUAAACACAAAUAAAUAAUAUAUAUAGUAUAGUUUUAGCCCAACAAAGCAUUUGAUUAAUUGUCACUUAUAUAUCAAGUGUUAUAAUAGAAAUUUACUCUAACUAUUCUAAUUAUUUUUGAUUUAUAAUCCCGCCCGUAGGGCGGGCCAGCCCUAGUAUAUAUAUAUAUAUAUAUAUGUAAUUCAAGCAAUGGCUCUGUGCGUCAAAUCGUCUCUUUGUCCUGUAUUAUACCUAAGAAUCUGCAAGCGAUGUUACACUCAUGACGAAUCCGAACUCUUUUUCUGAGUUGAAGGCUGGUCUGUGUAAGGAAACUGUAUCGAUCUGUCUCCUUUGUUUUUGGAAAGCAAAGAAUUUAAAGAAAGGUGGAGCGCUUAUGGGGGAUUGAUAUUGUUAUGGUUGAUAAACAUGUAUGUUAUCUUCAGUGAAUCUGUUUUUUCAAAAGAUCAUUAUUCCAAAAUAGAUUCUAAUGUGCGACUGUGUUUUAUGGAAUGCAGUCUACUCUGAUCUCGAGCUCCAUUAGCAUCCACCGCUUGAACACCUUUCAACACCUCCUCAAGAGAGGGAAGGAUGUAUGAGCUGAGUGGAUUCAAUGUGACAAGGACUAAUUAGUACUUUAAGCUAACCACGCACCCGUCUCUCUUUGAUUCACGCAACAUACCAACAUGGUCGAGAUUACAGAAACCAUUCAUCUCAACCAAUGGAGGCCUUCAUGUUCCGCAAUUAUAAUGAGAUGAUGUUACUAGAGAACACAACCACAUACUAACAAGGUCAGUUUGUGAACUUUGCCUCGAUAUUAGUUUGAUUAAAUGCAUUGGCUCGACCAUAGGACCGUUUCUGUAGCACAAAAUAUAUACACAAUGUUACUUAUCUGUUUACUUUCUAAAUACAUAGGUAAAAUUAGCUUAAAAAGGUGACUGAACAAGUGAGGUACUUGCAAAAGAUGAAGACAAGAAUCCCACUGAACCUAGCGCUUAGCGCUUAUGAUGUAAUCCCUCCCUAUGAUCAAGCAAAGGCCCUUGGGAAGUCAAACAUUGACGUUGGCCAGAUUGCUGCUGGAUUACCUUGUGGUAGUGAAGGAUUACGUUUGAUGUAUGUCCGGUGGAGAAAACUCGAAAAGGAACUCUACAACGAAAGAAGAGAGUAAGUGUCAAUGCUUGUCAAGUUUCAUCCUUAUUUUCGCAUCAGUUUCUUGUGGCACUGAUAGUUGGAAUUAGAGAAUUGAAUAUCAUGCAUGCAACGUUUUGUCAAUGCUAGGUACGAGCUGUUACAUAAUUCUCAUCUCAACUUGAAAGGACUACACGAACUCUUCAAAGUUGUUCAGGUAUGAACUGAAUACAAAAACUGAAGUCUCUCUUCCAUUUUCUGAAACUUAAAUUGUACAUGUACAUCUUUGUUUUGCAUUUUGACCAUGAACUAUGUUGAUUAGCCAGUUAUGUGGUGUGGUUUCAGUUACUUGCAAAUGGUGUAAUCCCAAAUGAGUAUGGGAUCAAUCCACAACAGAAGCUCACAAUCGGUUCAAAGGUGAGAUCCUCAACGUUAAAUUCUAGCUCUCACAAAGGUUUGUAAUGUUUUACGUAUUCAUGCUUUCAUGUUUGAUAUUUUUGGUGAAGUAAUGAUGUUCAAAACCACCUACGAUGAUGAAACACAAACUAUUCAGCAUAUUAUGGUAAACCUGCGGUUAUAACAGUAUGUUAAAGCCUCUGUGCUUGGAAAGUCAUGUUAUAAGUUGUGGAUCUCAUGGUUGUUUUAUGAAUACUAAAAUAACAACAUUGAACCAAUGUUCAGAGGCCCGACUGUUUGGAUAAGUGUGUUCUACGGGAUCGCAACUCUACUUUCCGAGAAAUUGGUGGUGUCCAUGGAAUACUCAAUUCUGUUACGGUGGCUUCAACGUAAACACCAAGCAGAGUUGCUAUAGACCUACUUAGAAACACCCUUUUCAGGUGCAUAUAUAAGUUUACAUUUGGAGUUUAUAUAUAUAUAUAUAUGCGGAUUUGGAUAGCUUUAACCUUAUGAAAAAAAAAACAUAAAAAUGGAAUGUCGUUGUAAAUGCCUAAUACAACUUUGGCCUUAUGUUGGAGUUUUGUCUGUAAUCAUCUGAAACAGUACAGCACACAGCAAACCAACACACACCUCAUAAAGAAUCACCCUUAGGUUGAGCUAUCUUCUAAUAUCUAGCUAGAGUCUUUAUUUUUCUUUUGGCAUCGAUCUAGCUAGAGUCUAUGUAGGUAUCCACAAAUAUGGAUAAGUCCAACACAAACGUCUUCCAAAAUGUAUUUGUGGAUCAAAUUCAAAUAAUUCUGACAUGUUCUUACUUAACGGGUACCUAUUUCUCAACAUUACUUUUUCUAAAAAGAAUAUAUUUCUCAACAUUGUGAAUUAUCAUCCAUACAAUUAGUAUAAAGAAUUUCUGACAAAUUGUACAUAAAUAGAUUAACUUAACUGAAAUGGUUCAAGAGCAACUGACUGGGUGUCAAAGCUUGAUGGUCAACAACUCCCCUCAAAAGUCACAUAUAUGCAAACAGGAUAGAUGAUAACAUCAACAACAAAUUCAACAAAAGUAGGAACUCUACAUUGAAAAUAACACUCAUAAAAGAAGAAACUUGGAAGAACCUCACUAUCAAGCUACUACCGAUGCAUUAUACAAACGAAUGGGAAAGGAUCAUCCGGACCUUAACAGACCAGACAAGCAAUGCGACACGAUUAUUUCUAUUCAGAUACGUCUUCCAAGCUACUUUGUCUGCUAUUUGGAAGGAACGGAAUGGCAGAAGACAUGGAGAAAGUCCUAAUAGCCCUGCAACCUUGAUCAAGAGCGUGGACAAGGCAGUGAGAAACCGAAUCUCUAGCAUGCGUCUUAUGGGAGUGUGCAAGUAUACCAAAGCCAUGGAAACAUGGUUUUUAGUAAGAUAAACUUUGAGAUUUUAUUUCAGAUUACAUAAAAACUCUCAACUUUUGUUGUAUCCAUUGUAAAAACGUUUUUUUCUUGAAAACAUAAAAACGUUUUAUUUCAGAUUACAUAAAAACUCUCAACGUUUUUUACUAGAAAUAUUGUAAAAAAAAUUAUAACUUAACUUUCGAUAAAUUACCAACAUGAAAAAAUUAAUCUUUAUUUUUUUGGUUUAGAAUUAGAUCAGUGUAAAAUAUGACUCAAUUCAGUAAAAUAAAUAUAUUCUUUUCAAAAAACCUCUUAUAAAUAUAUGUUCACAAUAUAGACAUAAAUUAAUAAAUAAUGUAUACAAAAUUUACAUAUAUAUAAGCAAAAUAUUUGAUGUUUUUUCACGCAGUAGUUUAUUUGUAGUUUUUCUAAAAACCUCAACAUAUUUUGAUGUUAUUUUAUUAUUUUUCAUGUAAAAACUCCAUCUGCAUUUAAGGUACAUAAUUUCAAUAUCAAAUGGUCUAAUAAAAUAACAUGAAAUUUGCAUUUGCAAAAUUUAAUUAAUAAACAUACUUUAAAAAAUUCUUUUUUGCAUAAAAAUAUAAUUCAAAACAUAUAAAUCUAUAAAACUCUAAAAACUAAUUUUUUUUAUAAACUAAUAAAUAUUAUAAUUUAUAGUUUUAAUGUAUCUAAAGCUCUCAAAUAUGGAAACAACCCAUAUCAUAUAGUUUACCACCUAACAUAUACUCCACACAUUAAGUUAUUGGAAAUUGCCAAAAAUACCACAUUCAUAAUACCACUUUUCAUGUUUACAUUGAUCAUUUUUACCCUCACUUUUAAAUAGGGAAUACAACAUUUAUAACCCUAAAGUUAACUAAUCUAGAAUUAGAGUCUAGAGUUGAAGGGUGGGGCAAAAAUUUUGGAAUGUGAAAUUUAUGAUUCUAAUAAAUAUAAAAAAAUACAUUAAAAAUAGGGUGAAUGAUCUAUUUCUCCACGAUAACUAUUAUACAACAUCAGUUCCCCACUGAACUAUGACCUCAUUCUAAAUCUCCAUGAAUUAAAAGUUGUAAAUUUAUUUCUCCGUGAAUCAAUAGUUCGAAACUUAAUUACCCAUAGACCAAGGUUUAAACUCGAUUAUUGGCUUUAAUUGGUUUACUCCUAGUCAAAAAACUUAAAAUCAAUUAAACCAAACCAAAAUCCAAUUUUUAUAUUUACUAGAGAUUUUGCCCGGCCACGCCCGUGGCUAUAUACAAAUAACAUAUAUUUUAUAUGUAUAUUGAAAUAUAUUACAUCUAUGUUAUAAAAUAUAAAUAAUAAAUUGAAUUAAAAUGAAUAAAACUCACAAUUUGUUGUCUUCUACUAUCUAAAAUAUGUAUGGGAUAGUGAACAAUGUGAAAUUAAUAAAGAAUUUUUUAAACCUUAGUUAUCCUCAAAAAUAUUUUUACAUAUUUAGUUUAUUAUAAAAUAUAUUAUUAAUCUCAACAUCACAUAUUUUUUUUGUUAUAUGUGUUAUUUAUAUCAUGUGUAUUUUUAUAUGUCUCUUAUUUAAUAUUUUAUAAUAUUCACUGAAAAUAUGUGAUGUUGAGAUUAAUAAUAUAUUUUAUAAUAAACUAAAUAUGUAAAACAUAUUAUAAAAUAUAUUAUUAAUCUCAGCAUCACAUAUUUUUAUAUAUCUAUAUUAUAUAUUUUUUCUUAUGAUUAGAAUCUGUUUUUUUUUUUAAAUUAUAAUUAGUAAAGCUGAUUUAAAUACUCAUUGAUUUAAAUAAAACAACAUUUAAAAAUGUUUAUUAUAAAAUAUUUUAUUAUACAAUAUUUUAUUCUAAAAUAUUUAGUUUUAUAUAUUUAUUUAAAUAAAACAACAUUUAAAUGUUUAUGUUUUACAUAUUUAGUUUAUUAUAAAUAUUUGAUGCAACGAUUUGAGAAUUAAUAUUUGAUGUUUAUUGUUUAUUUAUAAAACACAGAGAAAACAAUAUAGGGUUAUGUUAAUCAGUAAAAGAUCAUACCUACUUGUUGAAGAGCUGCAGUUCAAAGCCAAUACGGAGCUCCAUGUUUCUUUACUCCCAUAAGUGGAAUAAAAUGAAGCGUAACUCUGAGUCAGAGAGGCCUGGUGUGAUGGCGUUGAAAAAUAGAUCCGCCGGAGACUUGGCUAGAGAUUUUGCCGGUUGAGUUUGCCUUGGAGGAGGCCAUUUUAUAGAUGUUGUUGAAUGAGCUUGGAGGUCGGAAAAGGUCUUUAUAUAGGAGGAGAGACAUGGGGAGUCAGAACGAUCAUAUCAAUUAAACUUAAAGGAGUGUAAGAGAAAAUUGAUAGAAGAAACAGGAAUGGAGCAGUAUAUAAAAAAGGAGGAAAAAGGGAGCUGAAAUGAAACCAUAAAGAAGUAGUAUUGAUAGAUCGAUUAAAACUCAGUCGAAAUGGUUUACGGGGAGAAGCCGAAGUGGCAGAGGAGAAGAGAGAAGACGAAGUGGUAGAGGAGGCGAGAAGAGACACGCGACUUCAGCUCCGGGUCGUAGACCUAGGUCUAAUUGUUAGAUGAUCUUAAAGCUCAAUCCCAAAUCAAAAGAAGCCCACACAUAAGUCAAUUCAGAAAAAAAUUUAAGCCCAGCCCGAAAAAUGAAAUAUUCUGAUUGGAUGAUUAUUUAUGCUGACGACAUGUUAGAAUUGGAGAUUAUCCUCUUUUAGUAUAGUAUAGAUUUUUUUAUCAGCCUCCAUCUGUGAUGUAUCUUUGUUUUCUGAUGAACAAAACAGAACCUUUUUCAGUUGUAAAAACAAAUGCGUAAACUCCCCACCUAAACCACCGUAAACCUUUUUAUGUUUCCGUGAUGUACUAAAAUCUCUUUUGCAAUUUUUUUUUUAAAUAAACAUCAAACUUAAGUUCUUCUUCCAAAUCAACAUUAUCUCCUUCAUCAAGGAUAUCCACCCAUGUCUUUUUUUAGAGGCUUAAGUACCCAGAAACCAAAUUCAAGAUUUAAUUCAUCAACAUGUCGGUUAGAUUAAACCCAAAUCAUAUUUUUCACCGGAAACCAUCAAAUAUGUCCGCAGCAUAUGCAUAUAUACCAAAACUACAAGUCUCUCCCGCAGUAUAUUGACGGAUUUACGUUGGUGAUGUCUGCGUUUUUGAUUAAACGACAAUAGAGGAGGAGAGAUUAUAGCCUGGACUGAGGAGAUGCUCAGAGACGAUGAGUGAAGAGUUAGAGAAGGAGAAACGCCGGGAGCAACAGAGCUUUUCGGUUUUAGGAAGACCAGUUACGGUAUUGUGUACUAAGAAGGUUUCGGGAUGACUCCAAUACUGCUUUUGUUCUCACCAAUAAAUUGAUCAUGAGAGAAGAUCAGUUUUUGGCCAUGGCUAGGGUUAACGACGUUGGUGAAAAAGGAGAAGGAAGGCCUCUGAAGAAGAUGAAAAAAAAAUUAUAUAUAAAACUGGAUUUUGGUUUGGUUUAAUUGAUUUUAAUCUUUUUGAUUAGGAGUAACCAAUUAAAACCAAUAAUCCAGUUUAAACCAUGGUUUAUGGAUAAUUAAGUUUCGAACUAUUGAUUCAUGGAGAAAUAAGUUUGCAAUUUUUAAUUUAUGGAAAUUUAGAAUGAGGUCAUAGUUCGGUGGGGAUUUGAUGUUAUAUGAUAGUUAUCAUGGAGAAAUAAAUCGUCCAUCCUUAAAAAUAUUUAAGAAAUAAAUAGUUUCAAAAAUAAUUUUUGAUUUUCAAAAAGAAAUUUGAAAAAAAAAUUAAAAAAUUAAAAUUCAAAAAAAAGUUAUAAAAAUUUGGAAUUUGGAAAAGUAUAAUU